UACGUAGGGACCGAGCGUUGUCCGGAAUCAUUGGGCGUAAAGAGCGUGUAGGCGGCCACUUAAGUCCUGCGUGAAAUCUUGCGGCUCAACCGCAAGCGGUCGUGGGAAACUGGGUGGCUAGAGUGCGGGAGAGGAGAGUGGAAUUCCUGGUGUAGCGGUGGAAUGCGCGGAUAUCAGGAAGAAUACCCGUGGCGAAGGCGGCUCUCUGGAACGCAACUGACGCUGAGACGCGAAAGCGUGGGGAGCAAACAGG
RNAcentral lists this ribosomal RNA (253 nucleotides) under uncultured bacterium. RNAcentral's name for it is "partial 16S ribosomal RNA". It matches the Rfam family "Bacterial small subunit ribosomal RNA", at positions 524 to 776 of the family's 1533-position model. The record is from RNAcentral.